RNAcentral lists this non-coding RNA (30 nucleotides) under Rattus norvegicus (Norway rat). The record is from RNAcentral. Lineage: Eukaryota; Metazoa; Chordata; Mammalia; Rodentia; Muridae.
UAUAUAUAAGUUAAGUUAAAAUUUGGUAUC